GCGGGUAUAGUUUAGUGGUAAAACCUAGCCUUCCAAG
RNAcentral lists this transfer RNA (37 nucleotides) under Gaultheria pyroloides. RNAcentral's name for it is "partial tRNA-Gly". RNAcentral also lists the same sequence under 30 other names. The record is from RNAcentral. Lineage: Eukaryota; Viridiplantae; Streptophyta; Magnoliopsida; Ericales; Ericaceae.